GCAUGAAAUUGCAGGGGAAGUGACAGAAGUUGGUAGCAAAGUAAGAAAGGUUAAAGUGGGAGAUAAAGUUGGAGUUGGAUGCAUGGUUGGUGCAUGCCACAGCUGCGAGAGCUGUGCCAAUGACCUUGAAAAUUACUGUCCGAAAAUGAUACUCACCUACAGUUCCAUUAACACUGACGGAACAAUCACAUUCGGAGGCUACUCUGAUCACAUGGUUGCCAAUGAGCGCUACAUUGUUCGAUUCCCUGAUAGCAUGCCCCUUGAUGCUGCUGCUCCUCUGCUUUGCGCCGGGAUUACCGUGUACAGUCCAUUGAAAUACUUUGGACUAGCAGAACAAGGAAAGCAUGUAGGCAUCGUUGGCCUUGGCGGGCUUGGUCAUGUCGCUGUCAAAUUUGCCAAGGCUUUUGGGGCCAAAGUGACAGUAAUUAGCACCUCUCCAAGCAAGAAGACUGAAGCUCUUGAACAUCUUGGCGCUGAUUCAUUUUUGAAUAGCCGUGACCCUGACCAAUUGCAGGUAAUUUAAUUAGAUUCACGCAUAUAUUGGAGAAAAAUAAAAAAUAAAAUGCAUUCCUUAAUUUUAAUAUAUAUUUUGUAAUAACUUCAUCAGGGUGCCAUGGGCACAUUGGAUGGUAUUAUUGACACGGUGUCCGCUGUGCACCCCAUUUUGCCAUUGCUCGGUCUAUUAAAGUCCCAGGGCAAGCUUGUUCUGGUUGGUGCUCCGGACAAGCCACUCGAGCUACCUGUGAUUUCCUUAAUUAUGGGUAAGUUCUAACAAAAUUCUUCGGAAACUUGUGGUCUAAAACUUGUAAUUAAUAUAAUUCAUUUGAUAACAUAAAAUGACAUAGCAGGGAGGAAGACGGUGUCAGGGAGCAGCACUGGGGGAAUGAAAGAGACGCAAGAGAUGAUUGAUUUUGCAGCAAAACACAAUAUAACAGCUGACAUUGAGGUUAUUUCGAUGGAUUAUGUCAAUACGGCAAUGGAGCGGCUCGCCAAGGCUGAUGUUCGGUAUCGAUUUGUCAUUGAUAUUGCAAACACCUUGGCCGCCACCAAACCUUGAAGAAUCAGAAUCAGAAUCAGAUUGGUGUCUUCAAUUCACAACUUUGUUCCAUGAUCCACUUUGCUAUAUGUAAUGCUCCCUCGAUCAUUACACUCUUUUAGCGCUUAAAUUACUUUUAAUUUCCAGUUACAUCACCCUAAUUAUGUCGUGAUUGCCAAAAAACUAUAAAUGUUAAUGAAAUAAAACAUUGUUCAUAUAAAAUAUUUAGCAUAUGUACCUUUCACCAAUUGUCCAGUUGAAAAGUUUGUUUUGUUCUAAAUCACAUAUAGAGUUUUGCUCUCAUGCGGCACUUUUCAUUUUUUUUUUCUUCUCGUACCAACACUAUCAAGUCGUAUAAUUCAAUAAAAUUAGUAUAGAUGGCAGAAAUCUAUAAAAUCAUAUUUGCAAAGGUAUGUAGCAACAGCAGCGUCUAGGUUCCUCUGACCUUGAACAAAAAUAUACGAUUGUCCUAAAUGGCUCAUGAAUUCAUAUCACAAUUUUCAACGCUGCAUAUAUGUUUUCCAACAGAAAAUUUCUCUGGAUUAGGGUUUAGUGUUAUGUUAAAUUUUUAUCGAGUAUUGAAUCAAUCAUUGAAUUAAUAGUUAAAAUUGUUUUAAAUUUUUAAAUUUUUACAAUUUCUCCUAUUAAUAACUAUUGAUUCAAUAUCCAGUAAAAAUUUAAUUUAGCACGUAAUCCUUAUUCGACUUUGCAACCAAAGAAAACAAACAAAACUUCAUCGGUCAAUGGAAGCAUUUUCUUAGGACCUCACGGUUCACCCCCAAUGUUGAUGCAUGAUGGAUGAUUCUAUCAAGAUGAAUAUAGUUCAAGUUUUACCACCCCAUCAAAUCUAUCAUGAAAUUUCAUUUAUUCUUUUUUUUUUUUGUAGAUCUUAAUAUGUACUAUGAUUGAAAAAGAGAGAGAGAGAGAGAAUAGUAAAAUCCAUAUCUAAAAUGGUAUGUGGUAUGUAUAUAGUAGUACAUGAUCUAUAAUGGUAUGUAUAUGAUGUACAUGAUAUGAUCUAAGCUCUGCUUGUGCUACCUAUAUUUUAGUGUUAGUAUAUAAUUAGAAUUUAACUACCUUUAUUUUUUAAUUUGUUAAUUACCAAUCACUUUAAUAAAAUAUAAAACUUACUAGGGGUGGUAAUAUGGGUCAGGAUUCGUUUAUUCGAUUCGAUUCGAUGCGAAUUAAAUGGGUUUGGGUUUGAAAAAAAUUGAUUCGUUUAAUAAAUGGAUGAAUUCGAUUUGAUUCGUUAAUUAAACGAAUCGAAUGCGGGUUUGAAAAUUUACAUUCGUUUAUUCGUUUAGAAUUCAUUUAAUAAAUGGGUCAUAAACGAAUCGAAUACAGGUCGAUUCGUUUAUUAUUCGUUUAAUUAAAUUACUUUUUUAUCCUUAAAUUUAUUUGAAAGCUUUUUAAAAUUUGAAGGUUAAUAUUGUAAUUUUAAGCAAAUAACAAAAAAAAAAAAAACCAAAGUAGCGGAAACCCAAAUGCUAAAUCCCUAAAAAUUCUCCCCUCACUCAGCCGCUCUCGUUGCUCUAUGCCUCUCUCACACGAAUCACACUCACCCACCCAUACCAAGUGAAGCAAUCAAGCAACAAAAACAACCGCCGGUAGCCACUGUCAUUAACUCACAGGGAACUGACGAUUACAACCACCAUCGUUCAUCUAUCGUCGAUUGAGCUUGAGGGACGCAGCCACGCGAGUGCAGCCCGCGACUCGGCAGCAACCCAGGAGCAUCAGCUGCGCAACGUAUUAGCAGCCACUCGAACCCACAGUAGUGGCUAACCCGUGCGGCGGUGCAGCAGCAGCAAACCCAGGCGACUGCGACCCGAACUAGUGCCCAGGCGACCCGAAUCAACAAGCCAUCACCAACUCAGAGUAAUAUCAUGAGAUUAUGGUUGAAUUAUUGAGAAAUUUUGUAUUGUAGAAUAUUAUGAGAUUAUGGUUUAGAAAAUGUUUGGGAAAUUUACAAAAUUAGCCAUAAAACUUUUACGUUUUUCAACUUUAACCCCCCAAAGUUUUUUCUAUCAUAACUAGCCAAACACCUUAUGUUUGGACUACAUUACCCUCAUCACUUUCAUCAAAUUUACAAAGCCAUGCCACUUUUUCAAAUUUACAAAGCCAUGGCACCUGUUCCAUUGCUUGUCGCGCAAAAACCCAUGGAUUUUAUGGAGUACAUGAUUUUGGAUUUGAUUUGUCUCGUCGUAAGCUUCGAAACGGUAUAUUAUACGCCUAAAACGAACAUAUAUAGCUCAAGUUAUGGCUUUCGAAACAUAUAUGAAAUUUAGUGAGACAGGCAAGUGGGACAGGUGCUUGUCGCACAUAAACGCACUGCAUUUAUGUGCGAUAGGCACCUGUCCCACUGCUUGUCGCACAUAAACUCACGGCGUUUAUGGAAUGCAUGAUUUUGGAUUUGAUUUGUCUCGUCGUAAGCUUCGAAACGGUAUAUUAUACGCCUAAAACGGACAUAUAUAGCUCAAGUUAUGGCUUUCGAAACAUAUAUGAAAUUUAGUGAGACAGGCACCUGUCCCACUUGCCUGUCUCACUAAAUUUCAUAUAUGUUUCGAAAGCCAUAACUUGAGCUAUAUAUGUCCGUUUUAGGCGUAUAAUAUACCGUUUCGAAGCUUACGACGAGACAAAUCAAAUCCAAAAUCAUGCAUUCCAUAAACGUCGUGAGUUUAUGUGCGACAAGCAGUGGGACAGGUGCCUAUCGCACAUAAAUGCAGUGCGUUUAUGUGCGACAGGCACCUGUCCCACUUGCCUGUCUCACUAAAUUUCAUAUAUGUUUCGAAAGCCAUAACUUGAGCUAUAUAUGUUCGUUUUAGGCGUAUAAUAUACCGUUUCGAAGCUUACGACGAGACAAAUCAAAUCCAAAAUCAUGUACUCCAUAAAAUCCAUGGGUUUAUGCGCGACAAGCAAUGGAACAGGUGCCAUGGCUUUGUAAAUUUGAAAAAGUGGCAUGGCUUUGUAAAUUUGAUGAAAGUGAUGAGGGUAAUGUAGUCCAAACAUAAGGUGUUUGGCUAGUUAUGAUAGAAAAAACUUUGGGGGGUUAAAGUUGAAAAACGUAAAAGUUUUAUGGCUAAUUUUGUAAAUUUCCCAAAAUGUUUUGUAUUGUUCGGAAAAUAUUAUGAAAUUAUGUAUAAAUCGAUUAUGGUGUUAAAAAUUAUCUGUAGGAUAAGGAAGAAGCUCCCACAAAUAUUGGAUUAAAAUUUUUUUUAGUAUUAGAAUUUAUAAUUUAUUAUGUUGUAUUGUUAAUAUUUUGUGUAUUGGAAUAUUGUGCAUUAGGAAUAUUGCCGGGUUAGAAUUUGGCAUACAUGAUGAAUAGAUUCGUGGUCUUGGUAAUGGUGCUUGAAAGUGAUUAUGUAUGUUAAUUUCUCUGUUAGACUUUUUCUUUGAUUUAUUAGUUUAUGAACAUGAGCACUAAUUGUGCUCCAUCUGUAGAGAGUGCAAAUGAUCCAAAUGACAGUGUUAGGUAAGGUUUUUAUCUUGUUUAAUUAUUAUUUCCUUGAAAAUGCUACAAAUUUGCUAUAUAUUUGAUUUUUGAAAUUUUACAAUGACUAUUAUCAAUAUUGGAGCAUGUUAAUAACAUUUUAUUUAUUUUUUCGUGUAGGAUUUUUGUUUUCAAGGUGACAAAGACAAAUGAAAAGAAUUAAAGAAAUUACAUUUCUUUAUAAUUUCAAUUUGAAUUAUUGUUAUUUGUAAUAUUAAGGAUUUGGUAUUUGUUAUUUGGAUGACUGUAUAAUAUGAUUUGAAUUAUUUGUAUUUUGUUGUGGGAUAUUAAAUUUGUGUUUUUUUUGCUUAAUUUUGUUUAUUAAUUAUAUUUUUCUAAACGAAUUGUAAACGAAUCCUGAUUCGAUUCGAUUCGUUAUGGAUUCGUAAAGGAUAAACGAAUAAUAAACGAAUCCGGAUUCGAUUCGAUUCGUUUAUCAAUUCUAUUAAACGAAUUAAACGAAUUGAACCGAAUAUUCGUUUAAUAAACGAAUCGAAUCCGAAUCUUGAAAUUUCAAUUCUUUUAAUAAACGAAUCGAAUUCGAAUCCAUAGAAUUUUGACCCAAUUCAUUUACGAUUCGAUUCGAAUUCGAUUCGUUUAUUCGUUUUGCCACCCCUAAAACUUACUCAAAAGAAAAUCAUAUUAAGAGAGAAUCAUGAUCCAAUUAGAAGAGUAUGUUUCUUACAUUUCAUAAAUAUUUUUGAACAUCUUUUAAAAUUGUCGGUUCAUUUUAAGGUAAAAUUUCUAACUUUUUGUGGAUGAGUUUUCAUGACUAAUUUGCAUGCAUAUAUAUCUUAAUAAUAUUAAUCAAAUUGAUACGGUGUUCCAUUUGUUUGGAUGGUUAAGAAAAUCUAAGUUUCAGCACAAAUGAUCAUUGGGCUACAAAUCCAACGAUAGACUGGUACUCUCAAUUUAUUCUGCUACCAGAAGAUAGGCCGUCCAUGUGUACACUAUGAAAUGUAAUAUUUUUAUCAUAUUUAGGAGGAUAAACGUCUUAUUAUUUAAGAUAAUAAUUGUUAAUGUGUACAUUAUAAAUACUCAGCAUCUGGUUAUUCUAGAAGGCUCUUUGAUAGGAUUCUAUUGGUAUUUGAAAAAAAAUAUCAAUAUUCUCCCAGUUUAAUUAAUUUUUUUCCAAGAUGUUUAAUAAAUAAAUUUUAAGUAUAAAAAAAUAUUAAUAUUCUCCCAGUUUAAAAAAAUUCACAAAAAUAUUUUUUAUUUUUAAAAAUAAUUACACAAAUUUAUUUUUAUCUUUAUUUAAUUUGAAUUUAACUGCAAGAUUUUUAAAAAUUCAAAAGAAUUUAAAUUAAGAUAAGGUCUUAUCUUUUUAAAAAUAUAUAAAUUUAAUUUUUUAUUGAACAAUAGUUAUACAAUACCUUAUGAUAUUCUUUAUGUUAAAAAGUAAAAAAACAACAAAAUUCACAUUAGCCUUUAAAAUUUAUCAAAAAAAAUAUUUGUAAUUAUUUUUUAAAAAAAAUCAAAUUUUUGUGAUCAUUAAUUCCACCGAAUCAGCGCGCUGGGUUCUCAUUUUGCCGUAAGUCUCAUAAUGGUUGUUCGUGGUGUUGCUUUUGACAGGUAUCCACCUUUGAGUUUGCGACACUAGGAAUUGAAUAAUAAUAAUAAUAAUAAUGGUGAAGCUGACCCAAGAAGUAUCUCGCUGGUCCGCCAUGUCAUUGACGGUGGACAUCCCAUACAUAGCGCAUCCGUAUGUCACAUGUUAGCUCACUGAUUACUUCAGCAAAAUUUAUGACCCCCUCUCUCCACCUCCCUGCUGUCAGCCUGUUCCCGAUAAUUAUUAUUUUUGAGAUGCUCGAAAAUAAUUUUAAAGUUAAAAACUGAUUUUUUUUAUAUAUUAGGAAAAUUUAAAUUUAUUCAUAUUAAUUAUAAAAUAAAAUUAUUUUGAAGAGAUUAUUAUCAUUAUCAAUAAUAUUGAGAUAAAAAAUUAUUAUAUAUAUUAUGUUUAUUAAUAAUUAUUAUAUAUACACAAUAAAAAAUAUUAUACAUAUAUUAAAUAAAUUUUAUUUAAUAUUAUAUCUAAUUUAGAAAUUAUUAAAAUUUUAAUUUAUUCUUUUUUUCAAUAAAUUAUUUCUACAUCACAUCUAAUAAUAAUUAUUUUAAAAAUUAUAAUAUUAUCUAAUUAGUCUUCAUUAUAUAUAAUUUUUCUCGAUUAUGACAUCUUCACUUUAUUAAGGUGAAGAUAUUAACAAAAUAUAAAAAAAAAACACCGACUUUAAUGUAUUAAAAAAUUAAAAUUAUAUUUUUUUAUCCGUUAAUAACUUAAUAUAUUGAAAUCAUCACUAAAUCAGUUGUUAAAUCCAUAAUUACACAGUUACGUUAGCUAUAUCGGACUGCUGAAAGUAAAUGCGGUACCAUAUUAUAGUUGCAACAUAACUGAACCUCACUAAACAAUGAAUAUAUUAUAAAAUAAAAUAUAUUAUAUUAAAUUUUGUAUUUAUAUUUUUUAAUUUAUCUUCUCUUUAAUAUAAUAAAAAAUCUUGAUUAGAAACAUCUGUACACACAUUAACAUUCAUAUGAAGCAUAAACAAAAACUGGUACUUUUACUCGUCUCAUCACAUCAUUCAAACCACUAUAAUAAUGAUAACAUUGCCGUUCUCUCAUCCAAAAUGGCAAAAUCACCAGAAGAAGAACAUCCAGUAAAGGCCUUUGGGUGGGCAGCCCGAGACAGCUCCGGCCAUCUCUCCCCAUUCAACUUCUCCAGAAGGUAAUUAAUAGUUGAGCAUAAUAUAUAUGUGUGAUGCUGCUUUAAAUUUAUUUAAAAUUUUGUUACUGUACGUGUUGAUGAAAUGGUCAUAAACGUGGAUAUGUAAAAUACGGACAGGGAAACGGGUGAUGAGGAUGUGAGGCUGAAGGUAUUGUAUUGUGGGAUCUGCCAUACUGAUCUCCACAACAUCAAGAAUGAAUGGGGCUUCUCUCUCUUCCCUAUGGUUCCUGGGUAUGUACCCAUGAUCUAUCUACCCUUCAAUUUUUGUUUCUUUUGCAUUUUUUUUUGCAUUUGUUUUUGUUUCGGGUCAAACCCAGCUACGCAUGAACAGGCUGUUGUUUCCGUCACGGCGCUCCCUAAUUAUUAACUACGGUACUUGCCUGUGUAUACAGAAAGAGAUUAACCAAGGCCAAGGCUUUGGGAUCUUUUAAUUUGAUACAAAUCGUCCCCAAUCCUAUUUAAUUCUAUCUUAUAUAGAGGUGCUAGUGAAAUAUUGGUAACGAGGGUUUUAAUCUUACCGUUCCAUAUUUGAUGUGAUGAAUAACUGGAAUCUCCUGUUAAAAGUGGCAAACAUAUAUAUUUACGGGUCAUCAUCGUUUAAUAAGAUUUUCUUACAACAAAUUAAACAAAAAUAGAGACACACAAAUUUUAAUGUAAUAUAAAAUAAAAUAUAUUGGAUGAAAAUAUGUAUUUUUCUUAUACAUUAUCUUCAUAACUCUUGGUAGAUUUAUACUCUCUAUCUUAUAAAUAAAGGGUGGAAAUAACAAUUAACUCAAUUAAAGCGUUGUUAGCAUAGAUAUCUUUUUUUUUUCCCAAUAAAAUUAAUUUAUUUCCAUUUGACUCUGUACAAUUUUUAAAUAUUCCAGUGUAGUGGCCAGUGGGGUGCCUUGGCAUCAUUAGAGUGUUGAGAUCACACUAAAGACUUAACCCAUCAAAAUGGUACACCUGUGUAAUUGCGGAAUGGUCAAUUAUGAGAUUUUACUUGAGGGAUAGACGAGGUUGACAAAUAAACGGAGACAUGACUUGUAACUUGAAUUUGCAUUCAAAUGAAGACUUGUAAAUUUUCAAAUUUCAAAUUUCUUUGCUUGAAGAAUUUUAUGAUUGAGAAACUUACUGACAAAAGAAAAGUUGGUGGAGUGGUGUAGUAUAUACGUUUCCAGAAGCUAGCUAGUUAUAUAUUGUCAAAAACAGAAUCAAAUACCUUGUUUCCACUAAAGUAAUUUAUCAUAAACAAAUUGUAUUUAUUUGCAGGCAUGAAAUUGCAGGGGAAGUGACAGAAGUUGGUAGCAAAGUAAGAAAGGUUAAAGUGGGAGAUAAAGUUGGAGUUGGAUGCAUGGUUGGUGCAUGCCACAGCUGCGAGAGCUGUGCCAAUGACCUUGAAAAUUACUGUCCGAAAGUGAUACCCACCUACACUUCCAUUAACACUGACGGAACAAUCACAUACGGAGGCUACUCUGAUCACAUGGUUGCCAAUGAGCGCUACAUUGUUCGAUUCCCUGAUAGCAUGCCCCUUGAUGCUGCUGCUCCCCUGCUUUGCGCCGGGAUUACCGUGUACAGUCCAUUGAAAUACUUUGAACUAGCAGAACAAGGAAAGCAUGUAGGCAUCGUUGGCCUUGGCGGGCUUGGUCAUGUC
RNAcentral lists this long non-coding RNA (8875 nucleotides) under Citrus maxima (pomelo). RNAcentral describes it as "long non-coding RNA (CMAX_LNC000062)". The record is from RNAcentral. Lineage: Eukaryota; Viridiplantae; Streptophyta; Magnoliopsida; Sapindales; Rutaceae.